UUAAGUGACUAAGCGUACACGGUGGAUGCCUAGGCAGUCAGAGGCGAUGAAGGGCGUGCUAAUCUGCGAAAAGCGUCGGUAAGGUGAUAUGAACCGUUACAACCGGCGAUACCCGAAUGGGGAAACCCAGUGUGUUUCGACACACUAUCAUGUCAUGAAUACAUAGUGGCAUGAGGCGAACCGGGGGAACUGAAACAUCUAAGUACCCCGAGGAAAAGAAAUCAACCGAGAUUCCCCCAGUAGCGGCGAGCGAACGGGGAGGAGCCCAGAACCUGAAUCGGCUUGUGUGUUAGUGGAAGCGUCUGGAAAGUCGCGCAGCAAAGGGUGAUAGCCCCGUACACUAAAAUGCACAGGUCGUGAGUUCGAUGAGUAGGGCGGGACACGUGACAUCCUGUCUGAAUAUGGGGGGACCAUCCUCCAAGGCUAAAUACUCCUGACUGACCGAUAGUGAACCAGUACCGUGAGGGAAAGGCGAAAAGAACCCCGGCGAGGGGAGUGAAAUAGAACCUGAAACCGUGUACGUACAAGCAGUGGGAGCACCUUCGUGGUGUGACUGCGUACCUUUUGUAUAAUGGGUCAGCGACUUAUAUUUUGUAGCAAGGUUAACCGUAUAGGGGAGCCGUAGGGAAACCGAGUCUUAACUGGGCGAAUAGUUGCAAGGUAUAGACCCGAAACCCGGUGAUCUAGCCAUGGGCAGGUUGAAGGUUGGGUAACACUAACUGGAGGACCGAACCGACUAAUGUUGAAAAAUUAGCGGAUGACUUGUGGCUGGGGGUGAAAGGCCAAUCAAACCGGGAGAUAGCUGGUUCUCCCCGAAAGCUAUUUAGGUAGCGCCUCGUGAACUCAUCUUCGGGGGUAGAGCACUGUUUCGGCUAGGGGGCCAUCCCGGCUUACCAAACCGAUGCAAACUCCGAAUACCGAAGAAUGUUAUCACGGGAGACACACGGCGGGUGCUAACGUCCGUCGUGAAGAGGGAAACAACCCAGACCGCCAGCUAAGGUCCCAAAGUCAUGGUUAAGUGGGAAACGAUGUGGGAAGGCACAGACAGCCAGGAUGUUGGCUUAGAAGCAGCCAUCAUUUAAAGAAAGCGUAAUAGCUCACUGGUCGAGUCGGCCUGCGCGGAAGAUGUAACGGGGCUAAACCAUGCACCGAAGCUGCGGCAGCGACGCUUAGGCGUUGUUGGGUAGGGGAGCGUUCUGUAAGCCGUUGAAGGUGGCCUGUGAGGGUUGCUGGAGGUAUCAGAAGUGCGAAUGCUGACAUAAGUAACGAUAAAGCGGGUGAAAAGCCCGCUCGCCGGAAGACCAAGGGUUCCUGUCCAACGUUAAUCGGGGCAGGGUGAGUCGACCCCUAAGGCGAGGCUGAAAAGCGUAGUCGAUGGGAAACAGGUUAAUAUUCCUGUACUUGGUGUUACUGCGAAGGGGGGACGGAGAAGGCUAGGCUGGCCGGGCGACGGUUGUCCCGGUUUAAGCGUGUAGGGGGUGUGACCUGGUAAAUCCGGUUGCAUAUCAACCCUGAGGCGUGAUGACGAUGCACUACGGUGCAGAAGUAGUUGAUGCCCUGCUUCCAGGAAAAUCCUCUAAGCUCCAGGUAACAUUAAAUCGUACCCCAAACCGACACAGGUGGUCAGGUAGAGAAUACCAAGGCGCUUGAGAGAACUCGGGUGAAGGAACUAGGCAAAAUGGUGCCGUAACUUCGGGAGAAGGCACGCUGGCAUGUAGGUGAAGUCCCUUGCGGAUGGAGCUGAAGCCAGUCGAAGAUACCAGCUGGCUGCAACUGUUUAAUAAAAACACAGCACUGUGCAAACACGAAAGUGGACGUAUACGGUGUGACGCCUGCCCGGUGCUGGAAGGUUAAUUGAUGGGGUCAGCCGCAAGGCGAAGCUCUUGAUCGAAGCCCCAGUAAACGGCGGCCGUAACUAUAACGGUCCUAAGGUAGCGAAAUUCCUUGUCGGGUAAGUUCCGACCUGCACGAAUGGCGUAAUGAUGGCCAGGCUGUCUCCACCCGAGACUCAGUGAAAUUGAACUCGCUGUGAAGAUGCAGUGUACCCGCGGCAAGACGGAAAGACCCCGUGAACCUUUACUAUAGCUUGACACUGAACAUUGAGCCUUGAUGUGUAGGAUAGGUGGGAGGCUUUGAAGCGUGGACGCCAGUCUGCGUGGAGCCAUCCUUGAAAUACCACCCUUUAAUGUUUGAUGUUCUAACUCUGCCCCAUAAUCUGGGGUGAGGACAGUGUCUGGUGGGUAGUUUGACUGGGGCGGUCUCCUCCCAAAGAGUAACGGAGGAGCACGAAGGUUAGCUAAUCACGGUCGGACAUCGUGAGGUUAGUGCAAAGGCAUAAGCUAGCUUGACUGCGAGAGUGACGGCUCGAGCAGGUACGAAAGUAGGUCUUAGUGAUCCGGUGGUUCUGAAUGGAAGGGCCAUCGCUCAACGGAUAAAAGGUACUCCGGGGAUAACAGGCUGAUACCGCCCAAGAGUUCAUAUCGACGGCGGUGUUUGGCACCUCGAUGUCGGCUCAUCACAUCCUGGGGCUGAAGUAGGUCCCAAGGGUAUGGCUGUUCGCCAUUUAAAGUGGUACGCGAGCUGGGUUUAGAACGUCGUGAGACAGUUCGGUCCCUAUCUGCCGUGGGCGUUGGAAGAUUGAGAGGGGUUGCUCCUAGUACGAGAGGACCGGAGUGAACGCACCACUGGUGUUCGGGUUGUCAUGCCAAUGGCAUUGCCCGGUAGCUAAGUGCGGAAAAGAUAAGCGCUGAAAGCAUCUAAGCGCGAAACUUGCCUCAAGAUGAGUCUUCCCUUGGACUUUGAGUCCACUGAAGGAACGUUUAAGACUAAGACGUUGAUAGGCUGGGUGUGUAAGUGCAGCGAUGCAUUGAGCUAACCAGUACUAAUGAUCCGUGAGGCUUAACCUU
Molecule: ribosomal RNA, 2906 nt
Filed under: Serratia marcescens
Lineage: Bacteria; Pseudomonadati; Pseudomonadota; Gammaproteobacteria; Enterobacterales; Yersiniaceae
Description: bacterial LSU rRNA
Rfam family: Bacterial large subunit ribosomal RNA
Source: RNAcentral